UUGCUUGCUUCUUAGUGGCGAACGGGUGAGUAAUACAUAAAUAAUCUACCAUAAUGACUGGGAUAACCAAUGGAAACGUUGGCUAAUACCGGAUAGGUAAAACGAGGGCAUCUUUGUUUUAUUAAAGUAGGGCAACUACACAAUAUGAUGAGUUUAUGGCGCAUUAGCUAGUUGGUGAGGUAACGGCUCACCAAGGCGAUGAUGCGUAGCCGACCUGAGAGGGUGACCGGCCACACUGGGACUGAGACACGGCCCAGACUCCUACGGGAGGCAGCAGUAGGGAAUUUUCGGCAAUGGGCGCAAGCCUGACCGAGCAACGCCGCGUGAGUGAAGAAGGCCUUCGGGUUGUAAAGCUCUGUUGUAAGGGAAGAACACUUUUUAGAGGAAAUGCUAGGAAGCUGACGGUACCUUACCAGAAAGCCACGGCUAACUACGUGCCAGCAGCCGCGGUAAUACGUAGGUGGCGAGCGUUAUCCGGAAUUAUUGGGCGUAAAGGGUGCGUAGGCGGUUUAUUAAGUCUGUGGUGAAAGUGCGGGGCUCAACCCCGUAUGGCCACAGAAACUGAUCGACUAGAGUACAGGAGAGGGCAGUGGAAUUCCAUGUGUAGCGGUAAAAUGCGUAGAUAUAUGGAGGAACACCGGUGGCGAAGGCGGCUGCCUGGCCUGUAACUGACGC
RNAcentral lists this ribosomal RNA (675 nucleotides) under uncultured bacterium. RNAcentral describes it as "bacterial SSU rRNA". It matches the Rfam family "Bacterial small subunit ribosomal RNA", at positions 81 to 746 of the family's 1533-position model. The record is from RNAcentral.